AUUGAACCCACAUCCUCAUGGAUGCUAGUCGGGUUUGUUAAGCGCUGAGCCAUGAUGGGAAGUCCAUAUCCUGACAGUUUUAAAUGCGAAUAUCAGACUAUGUGACCCUUCUGUAGAAUCACAACAAUUACACACUCUGUUUACAUGGUUCAUCCCUGAAGGGUGCCUUGAACUUGUCAGAAAAGACAAACACAAGCCAGAUUCCAAAAGGCUGUAUAGAGGAAGGGAGUGGUACCCUAGACAGGAUAGAGCGCUCACUCUGGAGCGAGUGAGAACUGUCACAGGUACGUUGUGUGACAGGCACCCUCCUGUCAGCUGCAGACCUAUUCCCAGUGUCCUAGCCAGGUGUGGGGUCUGGAAAUUUGAGGUAGGCAUCUCCCCUUUCUUAUGAGACCAUCACACCAACCCAUGGCAGAUGGGCAAACUCCCUAAAGAUGUUUAAAUCUGUGGUUUUUUUUGUUGUUGUUUUUCUUUUUUUUUUUCUUUUUUUUUUUGGCCAGUCACCUGCCAGAUGUUCUGGGGUGCCAUCAGCUCAGUGUGGGAUGGCUGCCACCAUGUCCCUCCCCAACAUUUUCCACACCUGCAAGGAGUGGAGGGGGGGAGCAGUGAUGGGGAGAGCAGCUGAGCCGCGCUUGGGAUCCUAGGGGUUGAAGGAAUGGACAGCUGAGAAUCUGUUUCUAGAAUGUUGUAUGCCUGGGGCUUGGGAAGUCUCCAAACUCCAGGCACAAGCUCCAUGGACCCAUUUUACAAAGCAUAAAUUCAAGGGAAAAAUUUUUAAAUAUUUGAAAAUGGAAACUCUAGAGUGUUAUUCCCCGAGCAUAAACCAUUCUGGAGGUGGUGAGGAGUGGCUGGUCACACGGCCAUGAAGCCAACCCUGAAUAGGUAGGACAAAACCAUAGUUUAGUGGAACAUGAGAAAUAUGUAUUUAGUACAGAACUGGCAUAGAGGAAGGUGUAAUUAACCCUAUAAAUAUGGUGGAAAGAAGGGAUGGUUCCUCUAGGAGUGACAAUUUAAGCUGAGUUUUGGAUCUAAAUCUGAUUUCUCUGAGCCAAUAAAGAAUGGGGAAUGGCAUUAUAGGCACAAGAAUGCCUUGUCCAAAGUCUCAGAAACAUGGAUGAUCAUGUCAUCUUUGAAAAACUGCAAAUGUUGGUAUAGCGGCAGUGUGUCCUUGUAUGCAAGCUCAUGAGUCUGUCUAGGGUUAAAAAAUAAUGCAGGGUCAGUUGUAAGCAAUUAGGGUUUGGGUUGCAUCAUGUUAGAACUUGUGUAGAUACUUGAAAGGAAUUAAGCCUUAUGCAUACCCAAGCUCAAAAGUGAGAUCUUCAAUUUCCAAACAGCAAAAGAUAACAGGAUAAAUUAUACUCUGCAGUCUCAAAAUGUCAGAAAUUCUUCAUUGAUAUGCAGCAACAACAAGCUUUCAAAGGUCUUAAGCUAAACUGGAGGAAAAGACCACACAUGGUAUCAAUGACUUUCUAAUCAAGAUUUCUCGGAUUUUUCUCCAUAGAGUAUGCCAUUCCAUGUUAUUAGAAAACUAUAGUUAAAAUGAACUCGGUGAUGAGUGUUUAGGCCACUGUCACUGGAAGGUCUAUGCCUGGCUGACACCCCAGAUAUGAUUUUCUUACUAAGCGUGAAAAUCACUUUUAAAAAUACCCCGUUUCUUUCGUGUUUGAUUUCUUUCUAGAAGAGAAUGUAUAGACUUAUGUUGUCCAAAUGAGAAAUAAACUUUCUUUUUUUCCUUUCCUCCACCUUGGUUAUAAAGUUGGUAUGAUAAAUUGGCAGUAGGGAUUAAAAACAAAAUCAGAAAUAUUUGCCCUUCGUGUUCUUUUUCCUUAACUCAUGACAGAAGAAGAGACUUUCAGUGGUUACUAUGAAAUCUCCUUUCCAAAUAGCAAGACUUUUUGGGGUCCCUGACUCUUCAUCUUCCAAAUAGCAAGACUUUUACGGGGUCCCUGACUCUUCAUCUUAUCACUUACUAAAGGAUCCAGCUUUCCAUCAUCUCCAAGCGCAUACAUUUUUCCUGACUUAUAUGCCCCAGAAAUCCUGUGUUAAGUGGCCACAAUGCUGGUGAAGAUAUUUAAUUACGUGUAUAUGUUCAAAUAUGCUUAAUGCAGUAUCCCCUUCUAGUUUGAUGGCUCAAAAAGAACAGGGGCUAUGCUUUCUGGUUCCCUCAGGCACAUACGGGCACUAGCAUUGAUUUGGGUUUAUAGAUAGCUCUUGAUAUUUGUUGUAUUAAAUUGAAAUCAAUUAAGUGAAUUAGUCAUGGUAGUUAACCUUGGCUUUAAAAAUCAUGAAGUGGAGAAAGCAUCCUCCAUUUAUUUUUUUCAAAACCUCCCUUUAACAUUUUUUUAAAAUUAUGGGAUAUAUUAGGUUACAGACUCACAGCCUCUGAGUCAUAGACCUCUUUAUCAGGGGUAGAAGGGAUGCAAGUAGGAUGUGUAGUGGUGGAUAUAGAAUUAUAAAAGGGAUCUAGUCGUCCGUAAACAUGUUAACAUUUCUCAGUCAGUGAAUGCUCAAUUUUAACUAAUUAUAUGUGGGUGUUCAUGGACCUGGAACUUGUUAGAAUGGUCUCCUUAUUUCCAACAGAGUGAAGAAUCCAUGGUUUACAUAUAAAAUCAAAACUGGGUGAGGUAGAGUUCCCACUGUGGCACAGCAGGUUAAGGAUCCAGUUUGUCUCUGCAGAAGCUCAAGUUGCUGCUGAGGCAUAGGUUUGAUCCCUGGCCUGGUGCAGUUGGGUUAAAGAUUUGGUGUUGCUGCAGCUGUGGCAUAGGUUGCAGUUGUGGCUCAGAUUUGAUCCCUGGCCCUAGAAAUUCCCUAUGCUGUGGAUGUGGCCAACCCCACCCCACCCCCCCCCCAAAAAAAAAAAACUGGGAAAGGAAAGAAAUGGCAAAACCGGAUCUGAUACUUGUUAUAGCAAGAAGUCCCCUCCUUGUAUCUACUUUAAACAACUCCCAGGUCCAGAUUGCUGAGUAUCCAAUGAGUGUGAACAUUUUCGAGGAUCUUGGGCUAGUAGGUAUGGGCACUGACUUUCAUCAUUGGGCAGCACCUGCUGUGGCUAUGGAUUGGGCAUCAGUGCUUCUGCAUGUAUCUUAAGUUCUGUGUGUGAUGUCAAAAGUCUAUUUUUAGACUUUUAAGCUGAUUGGGGUUUUCCUAGUCUUUGUUUAUUUUGGGAAGUAGUUUAAUCCAAUCUUCGUAUAUUCUAAGAAAAUGUCAAUUUCAGCUUCAGUCCAAAUACUGUAUAAUCACAGCACUCUGAUGUAAACUCCAAGCUGAACUUGAGCAAACUUAACACAUUCCAUUUUGUAGUGUAAUAACCAAGUUUAAAUCCAACUGCACGAGGAAACGACCCAGUAUGUAAGGGCAAUUUAAAGCCUAAUGAUCAUAUUUGCUGCUGCUGACAGACAUGAUGAUGCCUGUUCCCCAAAAUGACUCUCGCCAAGGAAAGCAAAGCAAUUGAUUCUGAGCUUCUAAAUUAAAAAAAGAU
This 3478-nucleotide long non-coding RNA is filed under the name Sus scrofa (pig). RNAcentral describes it as "lncRNA (ENSSSCG00000058256.1)". Lineage: Eukaryota; Metazoa; Chordata; Mammalia; Artiodactyla; Suidae. The record is from RNAcentral.